This 253-nucleotide ribosomal RNA is filed under the name uncultured bacterium. RNAcentral describes it as "partial 16S ribosomal RNA". It matches the Rfam family "Bacterial small subunit ribosomal RNA", at positions 524 to 776 of the family's 1533-position model. The record is from RNAcentral.
UACGUAGGUGGCAAGCGUUAUCCGGAUUUAUUGGGCGUAAAGAGAACGCAGGCGGUCUUUUAAGUCUGAUGUGAAAGCCUUCGGCUUAACCGGAGUAGUGCAUUGGAAACUGGGAGACUUGAGUGCAGAAGAGGAGAGUGGAACUCCAUGUGUAGCGGUGAAAUGCGUAGAUAUAUGGAAGAACACCAGUGGCGAAAGCGGCUCUCUGGUCUGUAACUGACGCUGAGGUUCGAAAGCGUGGGUGGCAAACAGG